CUCGGACAUAUCACCUUUCAAAUGGUGACAGCCGCUUUGAGUAUGUUAGCAUACGGUAUUCCGACGGACCUAGUUGAUGAUCAUUUGUCCAUGGGUGAGAGUCAAGCCAUCAUGUGUGUCAAGCACUUCGCAGUUGGAAAUGUACAAGCGUUUGAUCCGGAAUAUUUGAGAGCUCCCAAUGCUGAAGACACCGCAAGGCUUUUGAAGAUAAACAAAGCUCGCCGGUUCCCAGGUAUGCUUGGCUCAAUAGAUUACCUGCAUUGGAGUUGGAAGAACUGUCCUUACUAA
RNAcentral lists this ribosomal RNA (288 nucleotides) under Triticum aestivum (bread wheat). RNAcentral describes it as "partial small subunit ribosomal RNA". The record is from RNAcentral. Lineage: Eukaryota; Viridiplantae; Streptophyta; Magnoliopsida; Poales; Poaceae.